GUGGAUAUAGCUCAGUGGCAGAGUGUGUGCUUAGCAAGCGCAAGAUCCUGGGCUCAAUCUCCAGUACCUCCA
This 72-nucleotide transfer RNA is filed under the name Camelus bactrianus (Bactrian camel). It matches the Rfam family "tRNA". From Rfam's summary of the family: Transfer RNA (tRNA) molecules are approximately 80 nucleotides in length. Their secondary structure includes four short double-helical elements and three loops (D, anti-codon, and T loops). Lineage: Eukaryota; Metazoa; Chordata; Mammalia; Artiodactyla; Camelidae. The record is from Rfam by way of RNAcentral. RNAcentral also lists the same sequence under 2 other names.